This 253-nucleotide ribosomal RNA is filed under the name uncultured bacterium. RNAcentral describes it as "partial 16S ribosomal RNA". It matches the Rfam family "Bacterial small subunit ribosomal RNA", at positions 524 to 776 of the family's 1533-position model. The record is from RNAcentral.
UACGUAGGUGGCAAGCGUUGUCCGGAAUUAUUGGGCGUAAAGCGCGCGCAGGCGGUCCUUUAAGUCUGAUGUGAAAGCCCACGGCUCAACCGUGGAGGGUCAUUGGAAACUGGGGGACUUGAGUGCGGAAGAGGAGAGUGGAAUUCCACGUGUAGCGGUGAAAUGCGUAGAGAUGUGGAGGAACACCAGUGGCGAAGGCGACUCUCUGGUCUGUAACUGACGCUGAGGCGCGAAAGCGUGGGGAGCAAACAGG